GGGUGCGAUCAUACCAGCACUAAUGCACCGGAUCCCAUCUGAACUUCGAAGUGAAGCGUGCUAGGGCGAGAGUAGUACUAGGAUGGGUGACCUCCUGGGAAGUCCUCGUGUUGCACCCU
Molecule: ribosomal RNA, 119 nt
Filed under: Gossypium raimondii (Peruvian cotton)
Lineage: Eukaryota; Viridiplantae; Streptophyta; Magnoliopsida; Malvales; Malvaceae
Source: RNAcentral